GUUAAUUUUUGCUCAUAACAAGUUCGUAAUAUAAAAAACUAAAUUCCCCCUCCGUUAUUCUCCUAUUUCUCAGGUGUCUCCGCCCUGGAGAAGCAAGAAGCCGGAAGUUACUUCUACAUCUUCUACGACCGCUGUACUCCUCCAUGUACAUAAAGGAGCAGGCUUUGUCUGAUUAGAGGGAUGGUGAAGUUCACCGGAUAUUCUUUGAUUACUUCAUUUACUCCAUUUCAUUCUAUUAUUCUUAAAAAACAUCACAGAUUACCAUUAAAUUUAUGUAACAAGAAUUCAACUAAGUCAAGAAGCCUGUCUACUUGUGCUCAAAAGCGUCACUUGCAUGCAAAAGCUGGGAUGGGUGCAGGGCAAUAUCUUCCUCCGUUGUUUAGUGUUGCUCCAAUGAUGGACUGGACAGAUAAUCAUUAUAGGACCCUUGCCCGGCUUAUAUCAAAACAUUCUUGGCUUUAUACAGAGAUGCUUGCAGCAGAAACCAUUGUCUAUCAACAGGGAAAUUUGGACAGGUUUUUGGCAUAUUCUCCUGAACAGCAUCCCAUUGUCCUGCAAAUUGGUGGAAAUAAUUUGGACAACCUGGCAAAAGCAACUGAACUUGCCACGGCUUAUGGCUAUGAUGAGAUUAACUUCAAUUGCGGUUGUCCAAGUCCAAGAGUAGCUGGGCACGGAUGCUUUGGUGUUCGUCUUAUGCUUGAUCCAAAGUUUGUUGGUGAAGCUAUGUCAGUAAUUGCAGCCAAUACAAAUGUUCCUGUUAGUGUUAAAUGCCGAAUUGGGGUAGAUGAUCAUGAUUCAUACAAUGAACUUUGUGAUUUUAUCUAUAAGGUUUCUUCUCUAUCCCCAACUGAGCAUUUUAUAAUACAUUCACGGAAAGCUUUGCUCAAUGGAAUCAGUCCUGCUGAUAACCGAAGAAUUCCUCCCCUCAAAUAUGAGUACUACUUCGCCCUCCUGCGGGACUUCCCUAAUUUGAAAUUUACCAUAAAUGGAGGCAUAAAUUGUAUUGAUGAGGUAAAUUUGGCAUUGAGUGAAGGAGCGCAUGGUGUUAUGGUUGGGCGUGCUGCAUAUAAUAAUCCUUGGAGUGUGCUGGGACAUGUUGAUUCUGAAAUUUAUGGCGCUCCAAGGAGUGGUCUUACUCGUCGUCAGGUCCUUGAACAGUAUCAAAUAUAUGGGGAUGGCAUUCUGGGAACAUAUGGAAAUAAUAGACCCAAUGUUAGGGAUGUGAUAAAGCAUAUCAUAUUAUCCCAAGUAUUCUACUAUGCUGCAGCCUUUGCUUGGUUUUUUCUAUUCUGAGCCUGGAAAUGGUUUGUGGAAGCGCAAAGCUGAUGCUGCUUUCCAGUACUGCACAACAAUCAAAUCCUUUUUCGACGAAACCUUAGUAGCGGUUCCUGACACAGUUUUGGACUCACCUAUUGCGGGGGCACCAGCUGGUCGUCAAGAUCUUUUUGCCAACGUUAAGGGGUUGCUCCCACCACCAUAUGAAACAGAAGAAAAGGAGGUAGCAUAUGCUUAAUCGCAAUUUGGAGCUGCCUUCAACUGUAUGAAUGUAUCCCAUUUUAUGACCACACAUAUUCAUUGCAAUUCUUUGGACAACCUGAUGAAUUAGUUGUAACAUUUUAUGCAACAGUAUACUAGAGGGAUAAUCAGAGCAUGUACACCCUUGGAUAGUGAGAUAGAAACAGUUAUAAAUUAUCUCCAACUACAGUUAGGAUAGGAUACUCAAAUUGCAGAGUGAUGAAAUUAUAAGUGUAUGCAUGUGUCUAAUCCUUGUCUUGCUGAAUUUGUACGAGUGUAACAUACUGAAUUAUUAAUUAGUUGCACUGUUAAAUUA
This is an RNA transcript of Manihot esculenta (cassava), 1831 nucleotides long. It is a transcript of the gene named tRNA-dihydrouridine(20/20a) synthase, with no coding region annotated. The record is from RefSeq and is a predicted model, not a curated record. NCBI's taxonomy places the organism in Eukaryota, Viridiplantae, Streptophyta, Magnoliopsida, Malpighiales, Euphorbiaceae. The transcript is spliced from 13 exons.